GUGCUUGCUUCCACAGCACAUAUACUAAAAUUGCAACAAUACAGAGAAAAUUAGCAUUGCCCCUGCAUAAGGAUGACACACAAAUACAAUAGCAUGAAACGAAUAAAAUACUU
Small nuclear RNA from Zalophus californianus (California sea lion), 113 nucleotides. The record is from Ensembl. Lineage: Eukaryota; Metazoa; Chordata; Mammalia; Carnivora; Otariidae.